UGGUGGGACAUCCGGCUGGUGAAUUUAUCCCUCUAAGCUUUUCUCAUAGUGUACUUGGGAGACACGUGCUCCCGAGAGGGAUGGCCACUUGGCUAUUGAAGGGGCACUCAAAGAGGCAGCGACCUUCGCUAGCAGGAGGGUUCCCAUGUGGGGACCCUCAGUGACCUAUUGGUGUGGCUUGGAUCCAUUGACAUCAUUGACUGACGAAGCUACCAUCAUUACUCUUUGUAUUCCUGCUUUACUAUUGUCUUUGUAAUGAUGGUCUGAUUUUUAAGGAGCAUAUAUUUUUCCUUU
RNAcentral lists this long non-coding RNA (294 nucleotides) under Elaeis guineensis (African oil palm). RNAcentral describes it as "long non-coding RNA (EGUI_LNC024041)". Lineage: Eukaryota; Viridiplantae; Streptophyta; Magnoliopsida; Arecales; Arecaceae. The record is from RNAcentral.